This 370-nucleotide ribosomal RNA is filed under the name uncultured Lactobacillales bacterium. Its description in RNAcentral is "bacterial SSU rRNA". It matches the Rfam family "Bacterial small subunit ribosomal RNA", at positions 528 to 897 of the family's 1533-position model. Lineage: Bacteria; Bacillati; Bacillota; Bacilli; Lactobacillales. The record is from RNAcentral.
UGAGGUUGGAGCGUUGUCCGGAUUAUUGGGCGUAAAGCGAGCGCAGGCGGUUCUUUAAGUCUGAUGUGAAAGCCCCCGGCUCAACCGGGGAGGGUCAUUGGAAACUGGAGAACUUGAGUGCAGAAGAGGAGAGUGGAAUUCCACGUGUAGCGGUGAAAUGCGUAGAUAUGUGGAGGAACACCAGUGGCGAAGGCGACUCUCUGGUCUGUAACUGACGCUGAGGCUCGAAAGCGUGGGGAGCAAACAGGAUUAGAUACCCUGGUAGUCCACGCCGUAAACGAUGAGUGCUAAGUGUUGGAGGGUUUCCGCCCUUCAGUGCUGCAGCUAACGCAUUAAGCACUCCGCCUGGGGAGUACGACCGCAAGGUUGA